CUUGACACUGAACAUUGAGCCUUGAUGUGUAGGAUAGGUGGGAGGCUUUGAAGUGUGGACGCCAGUCUGCAUGGAGCCGACCUUGAAAUACCACCCUUUAAUGUUUGAUGUUCUAACGUUGGCCCCUAAUCGGGGUUGCGGACAGUGUCUGGUGGGUAGUUUGACUGGGGCGGUCUCCUCCUAAAGAGUAACGGAGGAGCACGAAGGUUGGCUAAUCCUGGUCGGACAUCAGGAGGUUAGUGCAAUGGCAUAAGCCAGCUUGACUGCGAGCGUGACGGCGCGAGCAGGUGCGAAAGCAGGUCAUAGUGAUCCGGUGGUUCUGAAUGGAAGGGCCAUCGCUCAACGGAUAAAAGGUACUCCGGGGAUAACAGGCUGAUACCGCCCAAGAGUUCAUAUCGACGGCGGUGUUUGGCACCUCGAUGUCGGCUCAUCACAUCCUGGGGCUGAAGUAGGUCCCAAGGGUAUGGCUGUUCGCCAUUUAAAGUGGUACGCGAGCUGGGUUUAGAACGUCGUGAGACAGUUCGGUCCCUAUCUGCCGUGGGCGCUGGAGAACUGAGGGGGGCUGCUCCUAGUACGAGAGGACCGGAGUGGACG
RNAcentral lists this ribosomal RNA (594 nucleotides) under Escherichia coli. Its description in RNAcentral is "partial 23S ribosomal RNA". It matches the Rfam family "Bacterial large subunit ribosomal RNA", at positions 2110 to 2703 of the family's 2925-position model. The record is from RNAcentral. Lineage: Bacteria; Pseudomonadati; Pseudomonadota; Gammaproteobacteria; Enterobacterales; Enterobacteriaceae.